RNAcentral lists this ribosomal RNA (699 nucleotides) under Enterococcus faecium. RNAcentral describes it as "bacterial SSU rRNA". It matches the Rfam family "Bacterial small subunit ribosomal RNA", at positions 107 to 794 of the family's 1533-position model. The record is from RNAcentral. Lineage: Bacteria; Bacillati; Bacillota; Bacilli; Lactobacillales; Enterococcaceae.
UGAGUAACACGUGGGUAACCUGCCCAUCAGAAGGGGCUAACACUUGGAAACAGGUGCUAAUACCGUAUAACAAUCAAAACCGCAUGGUUUUGAUUUGAAAGGCGCUUUCGGGUGUCGCUGAUGGAUGGACCCGCGGUGCAUUAGCUAGUUGGUGAGGUAACGGCUCACCAAGGCCACGAUGCAUAGCCGACCUGAGAGGGUGAUCGCCACAUUGGGACUGAGACACGGCCCAAACUCCUACGGGAGGCAGCAGUAGGGAAUCUUCGGCAAUGGACGAAAGUCUGACCGAGCAACGCCGCGUGAGUGAAGAAGGUUUUCGGAUCGUAAAACUCUGUUGUUAGAGAAGAUCAAGGAUGAGAGUAACUGUUCAUCCCUUGACGGUAUCUAACCAGAAAGCCACGGCUAACUACGUGCCAGCAGCCGCGGUAAUACGUAGGUGGCAAGCGUUGUCCGGAUUUAUUGGGCGUAAAGCGAGCGCAGGCGGUUUCUUAAGUCUGAUGUGAAAGCCCCCGGCUCAACCGGGGAGGGUCAUUGGAAACUGGGAGACUUGAGUGCAGAAGAGGAGAGUGGAGUUCCAUGUGUAGCGGUGAAAUGCGUAGAUAUAUGGAGGAACACCAGUGGCGAAAGCGGCUCUCUGGUCUGUAACUGACGCUGAGGCUCGAAAGCGUGGGAGCAAACAGGAUUAGAUACCCUGGUAGU